AUGCAUCAUAUUCCUGUGAUAUGGAUACAGAGAGGAGCUCACAGAGUCAUGGCAGGUGGUCACAACAUGUGUGGUUUUCUGGGACAAAGUGGGACAGAGAUGGUCCCAGCCAGCUCUGCAGGCCCCAGGGAGCACAGAACAGCCGAAAUGAAGCCUACUCCAACUGCUCAAUCCAUGUCUGGAUCUGCCCCCUGGGCUGAGGACAAGGACGGGCCUCGGCACCCAGGCCUGUGCUGACCCGGCUCCGGCAGCAGCGGUGCAGGAACAGGAAACCAUUUUUCUCCUCUUCAAGGUUUUGGUGUAAUUUGAGAACCAAGCCCCAUGCAGAUCGGAACACGUUGGUAAUGUCUGGAAAGUAAUUAUGGCAUAUAUUAUUAUUUUAAUAUUUACUAAGUGCUGACAGUACAAUGCCUUUAUUAAAACUUUGGGGGAGGGUGAAAUACGCACCACAAAGCAUGGCGGGAUGAGGGUAGUCGUCUGAAAUUGCUCAUUUAUAUUUCAAUUUUACAGUCACUUUCCUGUGACCUACUUUUAAUCAUACAUUGUUUUCUUUGCGGCUUAAAUCAUGUAAGGUGGUUAAUGAUUUUAAUUUAAAGUUCUCUGAGGAAGAAUGUAAAUAAUACUUCUGCCUAGUGGAGGCAGGCUGUGAACUUCUUAUUGAGAAGCAAUUUAUCACUGUAUUGAAGAGCAAUGGAAGAGGUUUAACUUCGCCAGAAGCUGGAAGUCUUUCUUUUCACUUGUUCUGACCAUGUAAGAGCAAUAUGCCAAGGGUUAUCAGGAGAGCUCUGUGUUAAAAAAUAAAUUGAUGAGACUGGAUUACUUUUGGCCUUUG
RNAcentral lists this long non-coding RNA (832 nucleotides) under Anas platyrhynchos platyrhynchos (common mallard). Its description in RNAcentral is "lncRNA (ENSAPLG00000022635.1)". The record is from RNAcentral. Lineage: Eukaryota; Metazoa; Chordata; Aves; Anseriformes; Anatidae.